UCAGGAGUCUGAGACUGCAGCAGUGUCCUAUGAUCUUGUCUGUGGAUAGCCUUGGGCAAUAUAGUGAGACCCCACAUCUAAGAAUUAAUGAAUGUAUAAAAAAAGAAGAGCAUUUUUGAAGACCUAGAGAAAAUAUUUUUUAAAAGGUAACAAAAAUGGUGCAGGUGCUGUGGAAAAAUGUAAUAGUUCCCUUUAAAAAUUAAACACAGAGUUACCGUAUAAAAAAACUUACCAUGUAAUCUAGCAAUUUUGUUCCUGGGUAUAUAUGCAAAAGAUUUGAAGAUAGAGACUCAAACAGAUAUUUGUAUGUACCCAUGUUUAUGGCAGUUUUAUUUACAAUAGCCAAAAAGUGAAAACAACCCAAGUAUCCACUAACAGGUGAGUAGGAAAACUAAAUGUGAAGUAUACAUACAAUGGAAUAUUAUGCAGCCUCAAAAAGGAAGGAAAUUCUGACAUGCGCUACAUCGGGAAUCAACCUGGAAGACAUUAUGCUAAGUGAAUAAAGCCAGUCAUUAAAGAAGAAAUAUUGUGAUUCCACUUACUUGCAAAACCUAGAUUGAUCCCAUAUACAGAGAUAAAAAGUAGAAUGCUGAUUGCCAGGGGCUGGGGAUGAGGGUAAUGGGAAGUUGGUGUUGAAUGGGUACAGAGUUUAGGUUCGGGAAGAUGAAAAAAUUCUGGCUCUAGACAGUAGUAAUAGUUGGAGAACAAUGUGAAUGUAUUUAAUGCCACAGCAUUGGAUGCUUAAAAGUGGCUAAAAUAAUAAAUGUUUUCAUGUUACCACAGUAGAAAAAGAAGAAAAGAGUAAGAAACUGCGUGGUCAUCCUUAUCGAUUGCUACACCCACGUUCCCCAUUUCUAGCGAGUCUGACAGGCAACCUCCGUGGGUCUGUCUCUUCUCUUCCUGGGACUUCAGCAAAUGCCUUUCAUGCCAAGUGCCAGUGACGUGGAUGCUGCUACCCAGGGACGGCGUUUUGGCAAACAACACCCAAAAUGAUAAACCAUGGGAGGACAUCUGGGUCCCAGGUUCAGGCGUCUCUGAACAGCCCCGAUCUGAAUAAGAAAGAACUUUAUCUGGACCCUAGAAAAGCCCAAAGCCCACUGGCCGGGUCUCUGUGAAAACGUUUAGCGCUCAAAAGAGCUGGGGCGUCCUCCGCUUGGGUGCUCCCUGGGGCUGGCCGUGGGCUGCGGGCUGAGGGCAGU
RNAcentral lists this long non-coding RNA (1199 nucleotides) under Callithrix jacchus (white-tufted-ear marmoset). RNAcentral describes it as "lncRNA (ENSCJAG00000078925.1)". Lineage: Eukaryota; Metazoa; Chordata; Mammalia; Primates; Cebidae. The record is from RNAcentral.